AAGCUGUUAUGUGGGUAGUCUCUUAUCAGCCUCUUAAACCUCGCCCAAGCAUCCCUGAGCGAUUCUUCAGUUUCCUGUUCAAAAUUCGUUAUUAUAUUUCUUCUCCU
Molecule: small nucleolar RNA, 107 nt
Organism: Benincasa hispida (wax gourd)
Lineage: Eukaryota; Viridiplantae; Streptophyta; Magnoliopsida; Cucurbitales; Cucurbitaceae
Source: RefSeq, a predicted model, not a curated record